Long non-coding RNA from Helianthus annuus (common sunflower), 216 nucleotides. RefSeq lists it as uncharacterized. Lineage: Eukaryota; Viridiplantae; Streptophyta; Magnoliopsida; Asterales; Asteraceae. The record is from RefSeq and is a predicted model, not a curated record. The transcript is spliced from 3 exons.
UCCUUCUCCGAUGGUGAUGAAGCUGUGAAGACGCUGAUUCAGCAACAGAUUUUGAGCGGGUUCGAGCUCGGUUCGGACUUGGGUUCGAAUCACGGAUGUUUCGGGUUUGUUCCGGGUCUCGGUUCAGAAAAGGAAGUAGCAGGACGUGAUUGACCUACCUUGACUGUUAACCAUUUUUAAGAGACCAACCGAGCAAACCAAAGGUAAUUAUUGAAG